Molecule: non-coding RNA, 21 nt
Filed under: Rattus norvegicus (Norway rat)
Lineage: Eukaryota; Metazoa; Chordata; Mammalia; Rodentia; Muridae
Source: RNAcentral
AUGUCAAUUGUGUGCCCAUGC